GAUGAACGCUGGCGGCGUGCCUAAUACAUGCAAGUCGAGCGAACAGACGAGGAGCUUGCUCCUCUGACGUUAGCGGCGGACGGGUGAGUAACACGUGGAUAACCUACCUAUAAGACUGGGAUAACUUCGGGAAACCGGAGCUAAUACCGGAUAAUAUAUUGAACCGCAUGGUUCAAUAGUGAAAGACGGUUUUGCUGUCACUUAUAGAUGGAUCCGCGCCGCAUUAGCUAGUUGGUAAGGUAACGGCUUACCAAGGCGACGAUGCGUAGCCGACCUGAGAGGGUGAGCGGCCACACUGGAACUGAGACACGGUCCAGACGCCGACGGGAGGCAGCAGUAGGGAAUCUUCCGCAAUGGGCGAAAGCUGGACGGAGCAACGCCGCGGGAGUGAUAAAGGUCUUCGGAUCGUAAAACUCUGUUAUUAGGGAAAAACAAAUGUGUAAGUAACUAUGCACGUCUUGACGGUACCUAAUCAGAAAGCCACGGCUAACUACGUG
This 497-nucleotide ribosomal RNA is filed under the name uncultured bacterium. RNAcentral's name for it is "partial 16S ribosomal RNA". It matches the Rfam family "Bacterial small subunit ribosomal RNA", at positions 28 to 507 of the family's 1533-position model. The record is from RNAcentral.